AGCAAUCUAUGCAUCAUCCGCCUGUCCUCCACGUGGGGCACAGGGAGCCCAGACUGAAUCAGGGACAUCUGGACCGCCAUGGGAGAGAGAGGUCAACACGGAAUCUCAGAAUGGAAAGCAUAACUGCUGCGAUUUUAGUGCACCCCGUAAAACAUAAAGCAGGUGGAAACUGGAGUGGUGGAAAGGACCUCUGACCUUGGCUUAGCCCAGAUUUCUUCAAACGAGUCUGACCUUGGCCCUGAACGAGCUGCUCCUUUCUGCAGCUACAGAUCCCCAGGAUGGGCAGAGAAAGAUGUUCUGUUGGUGGGUGCACCAGCCCCGGGGGGAAGAGAGGCAGGGUCUCAGGUUGGAGGCUGUGAGCCUGGAACAGAGGCUGAGUUAAAGCAGCGUCGGCAGGAAGGGAGAAGGCGAGGGAGCAGAGGGGGGUCACAGCGAACACAGAGCACCUGGAACAAAGCCCCGGAGCCUAGAGAAAAUUGGGGGUGUCUGGGACGGGACAGGGGCUGGGUCUCCCCUUCUUCAAGAUGAAGGUCAGGGUUCUAGCUCCUGGACCACCAUGAAUAUGUUGCAGGGGACGAGGCAGGGGAAUCAAAGAAGGUGGAUUUGCAGCCACUUUGUACCACUCGGUACGGGUCCUGUGCCAGACCACUUCUCCCCCUGGGUCUUAAUUUCCCGAUGACUUGACCAUCCCUGGCCUCCAUUUUAUUGUUUGUAUUAAGAAUAGAGUAACCUCCCCACCCCGAGCACAAAGGGGUACAAGCACCAGCCGUUCUUCCCGCUUCUGAGGUUUCCCAACCCCCAGUUCAGGGGUUCUGCAGAUCUGUGGUUGAGCCGGGUGGGGACCCAGAGCCCGACACUGAACGAGUCGGCCUCCCCCGUCCCACGUCCAGCCCCCAGUCUUGCCCUGCCAGCAGCAGCAGCUGGGCUCAGAGGUAAAGCUCAGGACACGAGCUGUGAGCCCUGCUUCCCUCUGCCCCCCGUGCCCCCCGCUGCACAGCCCCACGGAGAAGCCACCUUCUCAGAUCCAGAGCCUUCUGAAGGGGCUGCAUCCUCCUCCAGAGCCAGAUCUCCCCAGAGGGCCCUGGGCUGGGCAGCAGGGGGUGGAAGACAGCAAGGACACAGACGCCAAGAGACACAGCAUUUCCAGAUGGUCAGAGAGGAGAAGAUAAUGAGGAUGCCUGUCUCAGAAAAAUCCGUGCAAACAGCUGUCAGGGUGACUUCUUUCCAUCAAAGUCACAGGAAGAAAAUGAGGGGUCAAACAGGCCACUAGCCCCAGGCAGCCAGGGAAAGCUCAGCAAAGACAGCGGCGGAUGCGUUAGGAUAAUUUGCCUCUGUUAUAAACAGCCGCCAAGGGACGGUGUGUGCGGAGCCUAGUCUGUGGGACCCUGCAGUGCGGGCAGGGAAGCCCGCGCACGAGCCCCAGGGUCUAGAAAGGUGCAUGUGCCGCCGGAGGAUAAGCCACGCGCUUGGCGGAUUCAGAGGAGGUGGGAAUAAACUCCAGCUUUGGCUUUAGAUAAUCUACACUGUGUUCAGGGACAGGCAGAGAUGAAUUAUUUACACUCUGCCAUAUUAAGGAAAUUAGGAUAGAUUAGAACAGACAAAAUCUCCCAAUUUCAGUGACUUAACUAUAGCACUGCUCUGUCUUGCUCCCUGAACGUUUCCAUGGGAGCCCUCCUGGUCAGUGGGCAACCUUCCUCUGUAGGGGACUCAGGGACCCAGGCCCCUUCUGUCUUGUGGCUCUGCCAUCCCCUGGGGCAUCUGAGUCUUCUGGGUGCAGCUGACAGGUGGAGAGAGUGACAGUGUGGAGGCUGUCACCCUGUCUCAGAAACCCCAGCCUGGAAGUCACCCACGUCCCUCCCACUGUUUUGUCCUUCAGAGAACACGUGUGUCCAUGUGUGGACACAAGGAGGGCUGGAACUGGGGACAGAUUAGAAGUGAAGACAGAGUGGAAGUUUCUACCAGGGGACAGGGUGUGGAGCAGUGCCUGGGGGAGGUGGGGGUCCCAGGAGAGAGACCCCAGGAGCCCAAGACUGCUCACUGUUUCUGCUUCCCCAUCAGUCUCCGCUGUUAGACAAGCUGGGGGAAGACUCCAGGCUGUGUCAGCCAGGCUGGCGGAGCCACGUAAGCAGCUGGGCCCCAGAGGGCAGUGAAUCUGAGAGCCCUGUGUGCGGUGGGGUGGCAGGACCAGAGGGAGGGACCGCCUUCUGCCACUGACAAGGACCCCUCCUUGACCACACUGUAGUCCCGCCCCUCUGAGCACCCCUGUCUUCCCAUCUGCCCUGGGCCCGCAGCCUGCCCCGGGCCUCCAGAAGCUGCUGUUAGCCGAGACUCUGUUACACCCUUUUGGUGAGACUCCCCACGCCCUCGGUAUCCGACCAGCUUCGUCCUAGUGACUUUCCAGCCACUGACCUCUCCCUCUGCCCACUGGCUGUGAAUCCUCAGCUGUCUUUGAUGCCUUUGGAGUUGACUCUCUUGCUCCUACUACAACAGUCUUGAAUAAAGAUUUUCUUGCAGUUGUUAACU
Non-coding RNA from Vicugna pacos (alpaca), 2523 nucleotides. The record is from RefSeq and is a predicted model, not a curated record. Lineage: Eukaryota; Metazoa; Chordata; Mammalia; Artiodactyla; Camelidae.